Molecule: ribosomal RNA, 661 nt
Filed under: Mauroniscus cf. weyrauchi G0344
Lineage: Eukaryota; Metazoa; Arthropoda; Insecta; Coleoptera; Mauroniscidae
Description: partial 28S large subunit ribosomal RNA
Rfam family: Eukaryotic large subunit ribosomal RNA
Source: RNAcentral
AACACUGACCAAGGAGUCUAGCAUGUGCGCGAGUCAUUGGGAUUUUACUAAACCUAAAGGCGAAAUGAAAGUGAAGGUCCGUCUCGUGCGGACCGCGGGAAGAUGGGCGUCACCGCUUCGCGGCGGCCGCUCCGCACUCCCGGGGCGUCUCGUUCUCAUCGCGAGAUGAGGCGCACCAUGAGCGUACACGCUGGGACCCGAAAGAUGGUGAACUAUGCCUGGUCAGGACGAAGUCAGGGGAAACCCUGAUGGAGGUCCGUAGCGAUUCUGACGUGCAAAUCGAUCGUCGGAACUGGGUAUAGGGGCGAAAGACUAAUCGAACCAUCUAGUAGCUGGUUCCCUCCGAAGUUUCCCUCAGGAUAGCUGGCGCUCGUCGCGUACGAGUCUCAUCCGGUAAAGCGAAUGAUUAGAGGCAUUGGGGUCGAAACGGCCUCAACCUAUUCUCAAACUUUAAAUGGGUGAGAUCUCCGGCUUGCUCGAACCGAUGAAGCCGCGAGACUACGGAUCAGAGUGCCAAGUGGGCCAUUUUUGGUAAGCAGAACUGGCGCUGUGGGAUGAACCAAACGCCGAGUUAAAGCGCCUAAAUCGACGCUUAUGGGACACCAUGAAAGGCGUUGGUAACUUAAGACAGCAGGACGGUGGCCAUGGAAGUCGGAAUCCG